GGACGAGAUAUACCGUAAACAGCUGUCGUAUUGCCAAGUAACGUAGUUGGUAGGAGUAAUUGACGUACUGGUGGGACUUCGAGCAUAACCAUAAGUCGUGUGUGGACAUUGGCAAAGAGACAUAGGAGGUGGAAGUGGAAACGAUCAAGUGCCGCGCGAACUGCAGGGUUACGUACUCCGAUGCUAUUUUCUUGUGCCGUCGCAAACACGAUUACCUUACGUACGAAACGCAGGCAUUAAAAGACGCCUAAGCCACAUUACUGUUACAUAAAAGACGCAAUAACGAGAUAAAGUAUAAAUUGACGCAAAUUCGAAAUAUUUUCGGAGUUACAGAAGAAAUAGUGAGCAAGCGUCGAGCAGGUAUACGAGCGGUUUUUUGAAGUUUUCAACCAGUUUUUUGACGAGUCUGAACCAGUUUUUUGAAGUUUUGAACCAGUUUUUUGAAGAGUCAGAAGGGCAACUCUAUGGACCAGGAAUCGCUGAUUAGCAUAAUAAUGCGAUGGAAAUUGCGACCUGCACCUUUCCCGCCGCACGACAAAUGCAUACUCGAGACGCCUCGGUGAAAUGAUUGUACCAGGCAUAAUAUGACAUGUAUCCUAAUGAAAAAAUUCGAGAAGACUGUUGAAAUACAUAACAAUAAACCCUGAAAG
This 650-nucleotide long non-coding RNA is filed under the name Neodiprion lecontei (redheaded pine sawfly). Its description in RNAcentral is "uncharacterized LOC124292788". The record is from RNAcentral. Lineage: Eukaryota; Metazoa; Arthropoda; Insecta; Hymenoptera; Diprionidae.